UAGCAGACGACAACACAGCAAGGCCAACAUGAAAAAAAAAAUACACUUCCUAUUUAUUAACAUGUCUAUGAUUUAGAUAGGUAUUACAGUAGGUAUCUACCUAGGUAUUAGGUAACCUUACCUUCGAUUAUUCCAUAUACAUUAUACCAUAGUACACUACAUUAUACUAGAGCACUAUAGAUAUAGACUUUCAUAGUGCCUUAAUUAUACUAUAUACUUAUAGUGAUUCUCAAUCUUCCUAGGACCGCGACCAAAAUUUUCCUCCGAAAAUUUAUCGCGGUUAUCAUAAUAAAAUGGUUUCACUUUUCAAAAAGUAGUUUAUGAAAAAAGGUGGGAAAAUCAUAAAAAAAUUACCUCCUGAAAGUACCACCCCAGGCAGAUUUCCUUUCAGAAAAAGUGCUCCACCAAAAAAUGGACUCUGAAUUGGCACUCACUUAUACCUAGUAUAAAGGUGCCUUCUCAGCUUACCGUGAAACGAGAAAUAUUCUAAGACUAAUUGGUUGAACCAAGUAGUUAUUAUGUAGUAGUUAACCAUUGGUCAAUCAUCAUUUUUGAUACCUUCCCUAUACCGCUUAUACCGGAAAGUCUAAUUCUAUCCUAGUCGAACCAUGUGUUCACCACGGUUAAUGGUAAUGGUUCAACUAUUUUGAAUUGAAAUCAAUCAUAUGAUGAACAGAUUUUAAAUUAUCACGUUUUACUGUGAGCUGUGUAGGCACCUUAAGGUCUAUGAAUAAUUCAGCCAAAGAUAAUAAAGUUAUGGAUCCCUAAACCUUGUACUAAGGUGUAUUGAGCGUUCUGUGUCUGAAGAGAACUAUAUUAAUUUGUGUUACCACAGCGGUUAAACAGUGGUUACUAGGUAACUGAUAAUGAUAAAUGAUAAUAUUUUGUAAUCGUCAAUAAUAAAGUGUUGUUGAUAGUCCAUAGACUAAUAUUGUAUACAAACAAAUUGUAUUAUCUUUUUUUUAAAUAAUG
Cinara cedri is the source of this 972-nucleotide non-coding RNA. NCBI's taxonomy places the organism in Eukaryota, Metazoa, Arthropoda, Insecta, Hemiptera, Aphididae. The record is from the annotation of a GenBank genome assembly.